Molecule: ribosomal RNA, 253 nt
Filed under: uncultured microorganism
Description: partial 16S ribosomal RNA
Rfam family: Bacterial small subunit ribosomal RNA
Source: RNAcentral
UACGUAGGGUGCGAGCGUUAAUCGGAUUUACUGGGCGUAAAGCGUGCGCAGGCGGUUUGUUAAGCGAGAUGUGAAAGCCCCGGGCUCAACCUGGGAACCGCAUUUCGAACUGGCAAACUAGAGUCUUGUAGAGGGGGGUAGAAUUCCAGGUGUAGCGGUGAAAUGCGUAGAGAUCUGGAGGAAUACCGGUGGCGAAGGCGGCCCCCUGGACAAAGACUGACGCUCAGGCACGAAAGCGUGGGGAGCAAACAGG